UCAUUACACUAAACGUUGAAUUGAGAAUACAACACAGUAUCACUCUCGUGAUUAUUUCUCCCCUGUUUUCAGGUACUUUAUUGAUGAUAAAAAUAGUAAUUUAAAUGUUAUAACUCGCAAACAUGUCAAGAGUGUUUAAGGUGUGUCUUAGUAACGUCGAGGAAGUUAGAGUUAAGUUUGAAGAGAGUAAUAUUAGCCCUGCUCGGUUGAAGUGAAGAAUAGCAUCGUACUGAGAGUAGCUGUCAUCUUAUGUCGAUUGUGAAUGAACAUGUGCGUUGUUAAUAAGAUAUUUUGCUGUGUUAUUUGUAUAAUGGGUUUUCUGUUGUUUUGUAAUGUGUUACUUUUGUGAAAUGAUUACACUAAACGUUGAAUUGAGAAUACAACACCGUAUCACUCUCGUGAUUAUUUCUCCCCUGUUUUCAGGGGCGUAACAUACUCCUGUCUCCUGCCUGGUCAUUUCUCCACAACACAAAUAUUAUAGUGGCGACGAGGUGAUUAAACUACAUAAACGGACAUUGCUUGAAGGGAAGAAUGUUGCUUGUUCUCAGAAGACAGGUCAGUGUGUGUAGAGAGAACACGUUUGACCAGGUAGUCAGGCUUCUACUUCAUCGACCUGGACCAGUACACCAAAGAGGCAGAGGACGCCAAGUUUGGACCAAUUGUGCUGAUGCCCCACUGUAAGAACCUGGAGAUCUUUACUGGUUCUGAGGGAGGUGACGUGGCCACAAAAUGUGCCUGAGACACCUUCCGGCGCCCGGGUCACCUACCGUCACCCAGGACACCUACCGUCACCCAGGACACCUUCCGGCGCCCGGGUCACCUUCCGGCACCCAGGACAACUUCCAGCGACUGGGACACCUUCCAGUGCUAUUGUUGACUAGAGCCAGGGGUUCCCAAACUUUGUCACUUGGGACCCCCUUCCAGCAUUGGGGAACAUCACACGCCACAUCUAUUUCUAUCGGCACAAGCACUGUUCAUGACACAAACUGUUCACACCCUUGUUGUUGUUGGAGAUAAUUUAGCUGGUUUCAUGCUUAUUGUCUUGCAAUUCUAUACAUUUUGCCAUGUCUAAUGUGUACUUAUGUGAUAUUUGAAUGACUAUGAUAUUACAAUGAUAUCUAUGGGCUAAAAAAACAAAAUUGUUUGGGAACCACUGGUCUAGAGAACAGCCAAAGGGUGGUCAAGACAUCUGCUGCAACUUCAUCUUUAGUGUGUCAGCUCUGUUGCACCUGGGAGCUAAAGGUAUGGCACCACACUCCCAACAGUCAUGUAUACUUAAACAUACUUGUAUGCUCAUUGAUGUAUUUAUUAAAGUGGCAAUACACAGUUGAAACAAUAACAAAGCAUACUCGGCCCGUUUUGGUAAAAAGCUGAGGGAUGUGUCUGGAGAAAUGUAAUCACUCUCAAAUUCAUAUACCAAGCUAUGGUGUCACAUCCUGAUCUGUCACCUGUCUUUGUGCUUGUCUCCACCCCUCUCCAGGUGUCAUCCAUCUUACUUAUUAUCCCCUUGGUAUUUAUACCUGUGUGCUCUGUUUGUCUGUUGCCAGUUCGUUUUGUUUGUGAAACCUACCAGCGUACGUUCCCCUGCUCAUGUCUGUUUCUUGCUCCUGUUUUCUAGUCCUUCCCGGUUUUGACCAUUCUGCCCUGAACUUGAGGCUGCCUGCCGUUCUGGACACUUUGCACCCUCUCUGGAUGAGGGUGCAAAGUGCUCCUAUAUUAGAAAUAAACUUUUGUUUCUUUGACACUGUUUGCAUCUGGGUCAUACCUGAAACGUGGUAUAUGGAUGCAAGGACUGACCAUUGCACCUCCUUAAACCCCAUUGGAGGAGACGACCCAAGAUUUCUUGCCUCAGACCUCCUCCAAUGGGUUUUGAGUAGGAUGUGUGAAUUUAAGUAUGCUCCCUCUAAUUCUCUCUCUUUUUCUCUCUUUCUUUUUUUCUUUCUCUCAGAGGACCUGAGCACUAGGGCUAUGCCUCAGGACUACCUGGCCUGAUGACUCCUUGCUGUCCCCAGCCUACCUGGUCAUGCUGCUGCUCCAGUUUCAACUGUUCUGCCUGUGGCUAUGGAACCCUGGUUCUGUGUGGGGAACGUGGGUUCUGUGUGGAGAACGACCAAUAGGUGUUUGUCUUUAUUAACAAUGGCAACGCUAGCUAUUCUCUCUCAUCCUAUUAAAUGUUCCAGCAAGAAACCAUGUUGAUAUAGCAAUGCUUCAAGAAACACAACUGCUCCAAAAGGACUCACAUAGAAUAGAGAACAAUUUGUACAAACUGACUGCUUUUUCAUCAGCCCCAAACAAAACUAAAGGUAUAAUUAUAAUGAUAUAUAAUACACUCAAUAUUACCAUCAUGAGUAAAGGCAAAGACCAAGAAGGCAAUUUAAUUAAUUGUAUCCAUAAAGGAAAGAAAAUUGCCUUUAUUAAUGUGUACGCUCCAAAUUCAUAUGAUCCUACAUUUUUUGAUUCUCUGAACAGCAUAUUGUUAAAAUGACCUGAAUUCCAUUGGGUUAUUGGGACAGACAUGAAUGCCAUUUUGGACAUGGGGGAGAAAUCUAAUAAGACCAACAACAAUUCAACCAAGGCUCUCCAGCAUAAUAUACUCUCUGAUUACAAUCUCAUCCUUGCAAGCACAUAAUCCUAAAGCAAAAGAGUACACUUUCAGAAAUAGACUAUUUACAUAAGUAAUCAGAUCCUUUGCUAUGAGACUUGAAAUUGAGCUCAGGUGCAUCCUGUUUCCAUUGAUCAUCCUUGAGAUAUUUCUACAACUUGAAUUGGUCAAUUCAAUUGAUUGGACAUGAUCUAGAAAGGCACACACCUGUCCGUAUAAGGUCCCACAAUUGACAGUGCAUGUCAGAGCAAAAACCAAGCCAUGAUCUGGGGAAGGGUACCAAAAAAGGUAUGCAGGAUUGAAGGUCCCCAAGAACACAGUGUCCUCCGUCAUUCUUAAAUGGAGAAGUUUGGAACCACCAAGACUCUUAGAGCUGGCCGACUGGCCAAACUGAGCAAUCGUGGGAGAAGGGCCUUGGUCAAGGAGGUAACCAAGAACCCAAUGGUCACUCUGACAGAGCUGCAGAGUUCCUUUGUGGGGCUUGAAUAACCUUCCAGAAGGACAGCCAUCUCUGCAGCACGCCACCAAUCAGGCCUUUAUGGUAGUCUGGCCAGACUGAUGCCAUUCCUCAGUAAAGGCACAUGACAGCCCGCUUGGAGUUUGCCAAAAGGGACCUAAAGCAAUCUCAGACCAUGAGAAACAAGAUUAUCUGAUCUGAUGGCAUUUCAUCAUACAUUCUGUGAUCAAUUUGAAUCUUAACUGAAUUCAUAAUGAUCGAUAACAAUUCAGUCGAUCACCCCUGGAUUCUAUGGCAUGCCCUCCAAGGUUUUAUUAAAAACAAUGCAACUGCAUUUGCAUCUGGGUUGAAUAAGUCACAAUUAAAGAAGCUAUCAGAUUUGGAAAUGUUCUUAGCUGUGUUCAGCAUUCUCAACAAACACUAUUUUCAGACCAGGUAGCUAUUUCUCUUUCCAAUGUCAAGACAUCACUUAAUUUAUUGAUAAGACAGAGAGCAGAAUUUGCCAUCCAUCUAGUUAAACUCAACAGUAACUGGACAGUAAGCUACGCAUUAAUGAUCAAUUAUGUCAUGCCCUGGCCUUAGUAUUUUGUGUUUUCUUUAUUAUUUUGGUCAGGCCAGGAUGUGACAUGGGUGAAUUAUGUGUUGGUUUUGUCUAGGUUUUUUUUUGUAGAUUACUGGUGUUGUGUUUAGUAG
Oncorhynchus masou masou (cherry salmon) is the source of this 3752-nucleotide long non-coding RNA. RefSeq lists it as uncharacterized. The transcript has 3 exons. The record is from RefSeq and is a predicted model, not a curated record. NCBI's taxonomy places the organism in Eukaryota, Metazoa, Chordata, Actinopteri, Salmoniformes, Salmonidae.